UCUAAGCGAUGUUCAUGCGACGAAUUUUUUGCUCAAAAUUCAGCAAUUUUGGAACGAACUUUGCUGUCUGGCUGCUUUCAUGUCCUGAAUUGACUUUAUCAGGUGAUGCGACCCCACGCUUGCCAACUGCCUUAAAAUAAUGACAUUUGCUAAUAAAUAAAUAACCUAUCUUUCCCAGUUCUUUUUUGGUAAAUGAAAAACUGAUUUCCAGAAUACGGCCGGAAAGAGAUUUCCAGUCUUCCUAUAUGAAGUUGGGGCUCCAGAAUGAAGAAUCAGUUAGGAAGAAAAAGAGGAUGGUCUGUCUCAAUUAUGUCCCAAAAAUGAAAAGGCAGAAGGAACUCAGAAAGAUAGGUUAUUUAUUCAUUAGCAAAUGUCAAAUUGUCAAAAUUUUACCGCAUAUGGCAACCAUGGGGUCGUUCACUUAAUAAGGUCAAUUCACGAAAAAUUGCAAGGCUUGAGUCAAUCGAUAUGCCAACAUCUUCAGCAAGUUCUCCAAAAGUGAUUUGGUGAUUUUCCAGAACAUUUUUUUCACUUUGACGCUAAACUCAUCUAACUUUUAUGCCUUUUACCAAUAAACAUGCUGAAAAAGUCAGCACAUAUUCUAGGCCAGUGUACCAACAGAAAACAUUGAAAAUCGCUAAUAUGUACGUAGCCGCGAAAUUUGAAAAUCACUUUAUUUUGAAUAGAUCUAGUAUGCACCUGUUAUAUUUUUAACCAGCUGUUGCAUGCCUACGAACAACAACCCUCAGAAGUCGAAACUUGAGCGAGCUAAGGAUUAACGAGGUCUUACCUUUUAACGCAUGAUUCCUAAUAGAGUAUUUUCAUUUUUAUAUCAAAUAGAGUAAUCUAUUUGACCACUUUAUAUACAAAAUUACAUUUAUGGUAAGUCAUAUAUACUAUAUACAAUAGGUAUUAUGUCAGACACUUGAAAUGAGCAAUGUCUAGAUUAAAGUAAUGAAUUUUACAA
Long non-coding RNA from Leptinotarsa decemlineata (Colorado potato beetle), 967 nucleotides. RefSeq lists it as uncharacterized. NCBI's taxonomy places the organism in Eukaryota, Metazoa, Arthropoda, Insecta, Coleoptera, Chrysomelidae. The record is from RefSeq and is a predicted model, not a curated record.